This 495-nucleotide ribosomal RNA is filed under the name uncultured bacterium. RNAcentral describes it as "bacterial SSU rRNA". It matches the Rfam family "Bacterial small subunit ribosomal RNA", at positions 903 to 1397 of the family's 1533-position model. The record is from RNAcentral.
AAAGGAAUUGACGGGGGCCCGCACAAGCGGUGGAGCAUGUGGUUUAAUUCGAUGCAACGCGAAGAACCUUACCAAGGCUUGACAUCCCCCUGCUGUACGCGGAAACGUGUAUUUUCUUUAUGAACAGGGGAGACAGGUGGUGCAUGGUUGUCGUCAGCUCGUGUCGUGAGAUGUUGGGUUAAGUCCCGCAACGAGCGCAACCCUUAUCUUUAGUAGCCAUCAAGUAAAGUUGGGUACACUAGAGAGACUGCCGUGGAAACACGGAGGAAGGUGGGGAUGAGGUCAAAUCAUCAUGCCCUUUAUGUCUUGGGCUACACACGUGCUACAAUGGCUGUAACAGAGUGAUGCGAACCUGUGAAGGUAAGCCAAGCACAAAAAAGCAGUCUCAGUUCGGAUUGUAGUCUGCAACCCGACUACAUGAAGUUGGAAUCGCUAGUAAUCGCGAAUCAGCACGUCGCGGUGAAUACGUUCCCGGGCCUUGUACACACCGCCCGU